UAUAAGAGAUUUUGAGUUUUUACUUGCAACGUUUUGACCACUCGUCUUAUUCAAAAAAUUUUGAAAUUAUUAUUUAUGUUAUUUGUGACUUACUUUAUUAUCCACAGUGCUUUAAGCACAACUUUUUGUUUUUUAUAUUUGUAAAAAAAAUUGAAUAAGACGAGUGGUCAAACGUUGUAAGUAAAAACUCAAAAUCCCUUAUA
Molecule: microRNA precursor, 203 nt
Filed under: Oryza sativa Japonica Group (Japanese rice)
Lineage: Eukaryota; Viridiplantae; Streptophyta; Magnoliopsida; Poales; Poaceae
Description: MIR812 microRNA precursor family
Rfam family: MIR812 microRNA precursor family
Source: Rfam by way of RNAcentral